AUUGAACAAUAUUGCUAAGGGUUUCUGGAAUCAAGCGGUGUAUAACAUCCGAGAGAUAAAGUCAUGCUCACCGGAGGACGUUGUACAUGAAACAUAAUACUAAAUAUAACAAAAAAUAAAAAUAUCUAUUACAAGAAAAUCGUUGUUUACGUUGGGUUAUAUAGGGCGGAAACUAACAUGAUAGCAACAGAUGCAUCCGUUGAUUUAUAUGUUAAUGACCAC
Molecule: long non-coding RNA, 222 nt
Filed under: Mytilus galloprovincialis (Mediterranean mussel)
Lineage: Eukaryota; Metazoa; Mollusca; Bivalvia; Mytilida; Mytilidae
Source: RNAcentral